GUUCAUAUUAUAUGCCACCAUUUCAUAGGUUAUCAAAAUAAUCUUUCUUAGCUAGAGAAUGAUAGGAUUCAAACUAUAGAAGAAUUGAGUGAGAUAUUAAAAUAGAUCUUUUAUUGAAGAAGAACUGAAGAGAAUUACAUAAACGGGACUAAUACUCGACCUCUUUCCUCACCUGUCAAUUGCCUGCCUUCUCUACUAGGUUCUACCUCUAUUUAUAGCUAAUUUCCUAACUGUUUCUCCUCCAACACAUGCUUUCCAAUAGAUUCUAUUUUCUCUCCCUUUUUGAUCCUUCUAGAAUAGGUGAAGUGUAUCGGUAGCUUAUCAAUAUUCCCAGGCUUCCAAGACACCUUGUCCUCAAGGUGGAAACUUGGAAAGUGUUGAGGAUAGCUUCUGCUGAUUCCCAGGUUGCGUCGGUCGUAGGUAGACCCUUUCAUUUUAUCAGAACUUCUCAACCAGGACGUUCUUCCAGGACUUGGUCAGGCUCCACAACCCAUUCAAGGUUCGCCUCAAGCUGAGAUGGAAAUAGUUAACUUCCCUCAGUUGCCCCCACUGCCUUUUUCAGCUGUGACACGUGGAAGACAGGAUGUAUUGUAGCUUCAACAGGCAAUUUCAUAAGAUAUGCAACUGGCCCUAUACGCUUUUCUACCUCAAACGGACCAAAAUACUUAGGCCCCAAUUUUUUAUUCUCCUUCCUGGCCAAUGAAUGAAGGUGGUAAGGCCGCAGCUUAACAUAAACCAAGUCCCCAACCACCAGCUGAACAUCACGUCUGUGCUUGUCCGCCUCUCUUUUCAUCCUUUCUUGAGUAUGGAGGAGAUGAGAUUUUAACUCUUCUAGCAUAAUAUCCCGGUCUUUUAACUGCUGUUCCAUUGUUGUAUUUGUUGAAGAGUGAAAUGUUGUAUUAUACCAAUACUCAGCCCAUGGGAGCCAUGAGUACUACCGUUUGGGCUGAUCAUACGUGAAGCAGCGAAGAUAAGUUUCCAGGCAUCUAUUAAUUACUUCAGUCUACCCAUCGGUUUGAGGGUGAUAGGUCAUGCUUCGUCGAAGGAAGGUCCCUUACAUCCGGAAGAGUUCUGUCCAAAAAUGGCUUAAGAACACCUUGUCCCUGUCUGAAAUAAUGGAACUGGGAAUUCUGUGGAGGUGUACAUUUUCCUUGACUAAAACUGUUGCAACCUAACUACUGUAAAUGGGUGUUUAAGGGGUACAAAAUGUGCGUACUUGCUUAAACGAUCCACCACGACUAUAACGGUAUUGUACCCUCCUGAUUUCGGUGGUCCUUUCACAAAAUCCAUUGAAAUGUCAUCCCAAAUGAGGUGGGGAAUUAGUAGAGGCUAUAAUAACCCUGCCAGAGAUAGAGCCAUGAACUUAUUUUGCUAGCACACUGGACAUUUCACAACAAACUUCUUGAUAUUCGCCUUCAUCCCCAUCCAGUACAAGUCGUCGGUCAGUCGUUUGUAAGUGCGAAAAAACCUGGAAUGGCCUCCCAAUGUGCUACCGUGGAACUCGUAUAGCAGGAAGGGAAUUAAGGCUGAAGUUCGAGAGAUUACCAGUCACCCUUUGUAUAGCAACUUCCCCUGAAGGAUUGAGUAACCUGGGUGUGCAUCUGGAUCCCCCUGCAAGUCCUUCUUCAUUUUGGAUAACACCGGAUUAUUUUCCACCUCAGUCUCAAUCAAUUGUGCAUCCAACAGCUUGGAGAAGGUGAGUGUCCUCAGUUCAAUAGGAGUGGGAAUGCGUGAUAGCGCAUCAGCUGCCUUAUUUUCCAAUCCCCACCGGUAUUAGAUCUCGAAAUCAAAUCCCAACAGCUUGGUCACCCAACGCUGGAAGUCCCCUGAUAUCACUUUUUGUUCCAAGAGGUAUUUUGAGGCUGCGUUGGUCUAUGCAAACGACAAACUUCCUUCCCAAUAUAUAGUGCCUCCAUUUCUGAAUUGCUAAUACAACGACCAUCAACUCCCUCUCGUAGAUGGACUUCUGCCGAGACUAUGCUGACAGUACUUGGCUAUAAAAUGCAAUAGACCGAUGGUCCUACAUGAGUACUGUACCUACUCCACAACCUGAGGCAUCUGUCUCAAUGAUGAAGGGUUUCGAGAAAUCGGAGAGAGCUAAAACUGGGAUCGUGAUCAUGUCCUGCUUUAACCGUUCAAAUGCUUCCUCGGCUUCAUUGUUCCAGCUAAAGGAAUCUUUCUUUAACUGUUGGGUGAGAGGCCAAGAAAUGGUGCCAUAACCUUCCACAAAUCUCCUAUAAUAGCCUAUUAAUCCCAAGAAACCCCGAAGUUUCCGCAGAUUUCGAGGAGUUCGCUAAUUAACCAUGGCUGUGAUUUUGCUGGGAUGAGCUGCCACUCCCCCAGCCGAAACCAAGUGCCCAAGUAUGCUAUAUGUGGUUGAGUAAAGAGGCAUUUCUUUUUGUUUGCGCCCAACUGAUGCCUUUCUAAAACGGUGAACACCUCCUCCAGAUGAUGCUCAUGUGACGUCACAUCCUUACUAUGCACUAAGAUGUCAUUAAAAAAACCAAAACGAACUUUCUCAAAUAACUUCUGAAUACGUGGUUCAUCGAAGACUCAAAUGUAGCCGAGUUAUUGGUGAGGUCGAACGACAUAACUAGAAAUUCAUAGUGCCCUUCGUGAGUUCUGAAAGCCGUUUUAUGCACAUCUUCCUUCCGAACCCUUAUCUGGUGAUAGCCAGACCUCAAGUCAAUUUUGAGAAUAUAGUUGCACCCUGGAGCUCAUCUAACAAUUCGUCAAUUACUGGCAUUGGAAAUUUGUCUGGCACAGUUACCUUGUUCAACGCCCUGUAGUCGACACAAAAUCGCCAACUUCCAUCUUUUUUCUUUACGAGUAGCACUGGGUUGGGGAAGGGACUGACGCUGGGUUGAAUGAUCCCAGCCUUCAACAUUUUUUUAACCAUCCUCUCAAUCUCAUUUUUUUUGGAAGUGCGGGUACUGAAAAAGCCGAACACUGACUGGGUUCAGAGCCUUCUUUCAAAGGAAUGGCAUGGUCGAUUUCCCGAGCUGGAGGCAACUCUCCCGUCUCUUCGAAUACUUUCGCAUAAUGUUGUAACAGCCUCAGCACCCCUGCAGGUGGUUCUACCGCCAAUUUCCUUAAUUUCCCUUCUUCUCGUCCGUCGCUUAUUUUCACCAAUACCCCUUGCCUCUCGUUCUAUAGUGUUUUCAUCAUCGUUUUCAAGGAAAUCCUUGAUUUGGUUAGCCCCUUAUCACCUUUUAAAGUCAACCAAUCAUUCCCCAUUCAGAAUUUCAUGGUUAACAGCUUCUAGUUGACCUCUAUGCUCCCUAACGUGCCUAACCGUUGCAUGCCCAAAACAACGUCUGUGCUGCCCAAAUCCAGUGGCAAAAAGUCUUCUAUAAUUGUCAGCUCUUGCAAUUCCAGUACUAUCCCUUUACACAUCCUUUUCCCGUCAUUGACUCACCCGUUCCUAUGACGACCCCAUAAUUGUUGUUCACUGUGGUUGGAAGUCCUAUUUUUCGAACCACUUCCAGAGAAAUAAAGUUAUGGGUCGCCCUUUGCCUCUUAAUUUCAUGGUGCCCUGGAGUGGUUAGCCCUAUCAUAGAGUUGAGCAAUAGUUCUACCGUCUUCGUUACCCCUGGUGGCGGCAGCUCCACAGGAUUUUCGAAGUCAGCAGCUCCUUCUUCUUCGCAAUCUUGCACCAACAGUACACGAAGCUCCCGGUUCUUACACCUGUGGCCGAUCGUAUAUUUCUCUUCACAAUGGAAGCAAAGACCCUUCUCUCGCCUCGACCUCCACUCCGCAUCAGUCAUGCGUUCUAUGGGUGCUUCUCUUCUACCGUUUGCAGGUCGGUCCUCCAUCGUCACUAUCUUCAUACGGAAUGUUCUUGCCUUGAUUGGGUUUGGGAAAAUUUUGAGAUUUUUCUGGGUGAAGGCUUCUUUAACGUUUCUAAUUACUAAGUUUCGGUCAUCAACUUUUUGGGCCACCUCCAUUAUCUGGCACAAUCCUUUAGGGCCCAAUAAGCACACUUCAGCUCUGAUUUCGGGUAGUAGCCCAUUCACAAACGUGUUUUCCAUUACUUUAUUAGGGAGAUCUUUCAACAGGGCGGCCAAAACCUCAAACGCUCUCCUAAAUUCCACCAUCUAUCCUUCCUGUCUCACCGCCAAAAACUUCUCACAAAGGCUGCCUUCCUGGGUUGGCCGGAAACACAGUAAGAGUUGUUUCCGAAACUCCUGCCAGUCCUGGAAUGCCCUCCUUGCCUCUGUCCAUUGGAGCCACGAGAGAGCAUCGCCUUCCAAACUUACUCCAAUUGCUCCCAUUUUCUCUUGCUUCGUUAGUCCAUUGACCUCAAAGUACCUUUUCGCACGGAAGAGCCACCCAUCCGGAUCUUCCCCAUUGAAAAUGGGCAUUUCAAGCUUCCUCACUCGAUGCCAACUGUCCCCUCCUUCCUGGUCUGUGGUGAUGGAUAUUUCCCCUUGGCUGGCUUCCCCAGAGCCUUCCGGCCAUUUUUCCCGCUCCAUCGUUCGUUGAUUGCUUACAUCUCCCAGAGGUAUGUCUCGAGGUAUCUACCCUCUGGUAAUACUUCCUAACCCAUUGCCUUCCGAUCUCUCAUUUGACCCCGACUUCGGAUUUGAGAGGGUUGUUACUGUCCUUACUAAUUUCUUCCAAGGCCUGCAUCAUUUUGUCUAUGUUUUGAGCCAAGUGUUCCAUCAACCGCUCCAAGCCUGGUAGCCUUUGCAGCUCGGUCUUUACUUCUUCCAACUUUUUUUCCAUGGUUUCUAUCCUGCCUUCUGUUCUUUUUCUAAGCCAUCGAGAUGCACGUGCUCUGAUACCAAUAUAAUAGUAGUCAAACUAUAAAAGAAUUGAGUGAGAUAUUAAAAUAGGCCCUUGUUUGAGCUACAUUAUUUUUCUUAAAAUACAUUUUUGAAUAGUGCAUUGAUGGAAAAUGUGUGGUUAAAAAAUAAAGAAAAAUUUUGGAUUUACGUGUAAUAGUAUUUUAUUAAAAACUGUGUGGUUGAAAUGAUGUUAAAUCACUAUUUAAAAAUGUAUUUUUUUGAAAAAUGUGGCUCAAACAUAGCCUAGAUCUUUUAUUAAAGAAGAACUUAAGAGAAUUACAUAAAUGGGACUAAUACUCGACCUCUUUCCUCACUUGUUAAUUGCCUGCCUUCUCUACUAGCUUCUACCUCUAUUUAUAGCUAAUUUCCUAACUGUUUCUCCCUUAGUACAUGCUUUCCAAUAGAUUCUGUUUUCCCUCCCUUCUUGAUCCUUCUAGAGUAGGUGAAGUGUAUCGGUGGCUUAUUAGAGAACUCCCCAAUUUUCCUCUCAAUUAAGGUGAUCUAUGUUACCGAUACGCAUUUGUAAGUUGUAACGUUCUUAGAUAAGAUAGUUGGACUUACUUAGCCUUGACCCAUUAUCUACAUAAUAGUUCCAUUUUGUAUGUGACGGUAGGCAUGUGCAUUCUGUCAUUGCAAAUGUUCCCAUCAUUUGGGAAGCCAUAUCUACACCAAGGGGUGUGUUCAAUUGGGACUUUUAUAAAAAAAAUUAUAGAUUUUUUUUAAAUGGGUGACUUUUGUGGAUUUUGUGGACUUUUAAGUAACUUUUGUCGAUUUAUUAAGAAUUAAUCAAAGUCAACCAACAACCAUGGACUUAUAUGAAUUUCUGUAGACUUUCCCUAAAGACUUUUUGAAAGAAAAAUGUUGAACAUAUGUAACAUAAUAUUUUAAAAACAUUUCAUAUGUCAAAAUCAGACACAACAUAUGUAAUUAACCUUGUGGAUUGAGCCAUCGGUUCAAGUCAACGAUGUUUGGAUGGCCUAACCCGUUCCAUUUCAAUCCAUUGGAACAACUAUAAAACCAACCAAGCCAUUAAUAACACAUACCAUAAUCAAAAUCACCUUUUGAUUUAGUUGUACAACUAUAUGUUUAAUGCCAUUAAUUUCUGUCUCCAAUGUUCUUGCAUAAAUGUCGUCCCCUAAUGCAAUUGAGUGUAACCUAAGUUUUUUCAAUUUCAAUCUUUUUUUUUUUUUUUAAAGAUAGGAAAGUAUAUGAUCUUCUAUCGUUGUCUUGCUCAACACACCAAUACUAUCGCAUCAUCCACAAGUGGUAGAAUCAACCGUAAGUUUUAUUAGUUCAUUGUUUUCUUUUGACGUCCAUUUUUCAAAUUUUUUCAUACCUCUCUUCUGAACUAUCUUUUCCUAGUACUAAUUCUCCCAUUAAUGCUUGCCAGAUUGUACAUGCAAUGUAUUAAAUAUUUGAUAAAAACAUAAAAAAGUUAAUCUACAAACAGUAUAUGCACAUACAUAUAAGAGAGAAAACACCUAAUUAAAAGUUAAUGUAUUCAAUUAAUAGAAAAUUAAAGGUUAAAUAUUUGAAAGAAGCAAGGUAUAUUUGACAACAAGGUUAUAUACUUAAGGUAGGAAGGUUAACAUUUAACUAUAAAUAAUUAAUAAAAAGAACCUAAUAAAAGUAUAUGCAAUUUUAGAUGGAAAAUUGCACAAACAUCAUAAUGAAAUCUGGCAUAUGCAAUUCACUCGGCAUAUGAAAUUGGGCAUGCAAUCUGCUAUUUAAUUCAUUUAAAACAGCAAAUUCAAUUUAAUAUUGAAUAAAGUUCAAAAGUUCAAUUUAAGUCUAGUUGUUGGCCUUGAGAUGUAGUGGUGGUGGUUUUGAUUUUUAGAGGUGAUGUAGAUGUGGUGGUGGAAAUCGACUCAUGACUGUGGAAAGAUGGUGGUCCGAUGGUUGUAGUCUGCGAUUCCAUGUGGCAGCAGGUGAAUGUGGUGUUAAUGGUUGUGGAUUGGGGCAUUUGUUCAAAAAUUGUUGCAUCUCCGUGGCCGGAGUUGGUGGCGUCGUGCCUCUGUUGGCGUCGCUCGGGGUGGAGGUGCUGGUGGUGGUGUGGUAGGUGAAGAUGGGGUGUUGCGAAGCAAUGUUUUUGAGGUGAUGGUGUUUGUGGUGGUGUUGCAAGGUGGGUGGAGGGUAUGGUACGGUGGUGAUGGGUUUUCUGAGGUGCUAGGUAUUAUUGGAGGUUUGUGAUGGUGUUUGUUGGUGGUGGAGGUGGGUGGAGGUGCUGUCUGGAGCGGUGGAUAUGGCAGUGGUGAUUUUGGUGGUCGUGGUUGGGUCGGUGGUUGUGGUCACAAGUGUUGGUCACAAAUUAUUUGAUUAACUGUGACCAAUUAAAUUGGUUAAUUUGUGAUCAAUAAACAAUAUGUGAUCAAUAAGUAAUAUACACAGUGACUAAUAAAUAAUCUGUGACCUAAAAAUUAUUAAUCUGUGACCGAUAAUUUGUGAUUGUAUAAUAAACUGUGACUUAUAAUAUUCAUGAUUUGUGACCAAUGAAUAAAUAGUAACUCAUAAAUUUUUUGAUUUGUGACUGAUGAAUAAACUGUGACUUAUAAAAAUUUUGAAUUGUGACCGUAAAAUAAUUUGUAACAUAAAAUUUCUGAUUUGUGAACGAAAAUUAAUAAGUGACUAAUUGAAUCAUUAAUUUGUUACCCAAUUGUAUAAAUCUAUGACAUAAAUAUAAUUAAUUAAUUAAAUCAUAAAUAAAUUUUAAUAAAAAUCUUAUUUUUGAAAUUUGAAACUUGUUUUCUUAAUUUUGAAAUGUGUGAUAUUUAAAAUCUUAUUUCUGAAAUUUUCCCUGUAUUUUGGCCUUUUCUCCUCUCAAUCUUAAACAAUCGUCUCCUUCGACAGCUCACAAAAACUGCCCAAGAAAUCAUCACAUUCUCCUUAAUCACUAUCCCUCUAUGCAGAAUACUUUUAUACUUCCCACUGGAUCAAAUCUUAAUGGUAUCUCCAAAGUGCGUGAUAAUGGAAUUAGCUACACAUUUUGCAGUUAUCCAUUUGCCCUAAUGGAAGAGUUGUGCCUGGCACCACGUUGUGGAGGAUGAAAGUGAGAGCACCGACGUUGAUGUGGGCUUCGACGCCAAGGACGAGUUCUGUGUAAAGGCAUUCUGGGUAAUAGUUUAUCUUCAAUUGAAGAAGGUCUUCCAUGCCACCAACUUCUUUAUCUAGUCUUUCUUGUUCUAAGCAUCUCAGUUUCUUUGCAUAGUAACUUGUUGCUGAACUGGAAAACGACAUGUUAUGAUUGGUUAGUAAAUGUGCUUUUAAGUUAAUUAAGUCUGCUAUUUUUGUGACUCAAAAUAAGCAAAUUGUGGGUUCUAAAUUAUAAUUGUGUCUC
Molecule: long non-coding RNA, 8124 nt
Filed under: Olea europaea subsp. europaea
Lineage: Eukaryota; Viridiplantae; Streptophyta; Magnoliopsida; Lamiales; Oleaceae
Source: RNAcentral